This 91-nucleotide transfer RNA is filed under the name Rhodopseudomonas palustris TIE-1. RNAcentral describes it as "tRNA-Glu (TTC) (tRNA-Glu-TTC-2-1)". The record is from RNAcentral. Lineage: Bacteria; Pseudomonadati; Pseudomonadota; Alphaproteobacteria; Hyphomicrobiales; Nitrobacteraceae.
ACGGCAUCUCGCAACGCGGCUAGCCGGCCAUGGCCCGCUUCAUAUCCCUUUCACGGUGGAGAGAGCGGUUCGAUUCCGCUAGCGAGCGCCA